This 440-nucleotide long non-coding RNA is filed under the name Cercocebus atys (sooty mangabey). RNAcentral describes it as "lncRNA (ENSCATG00000045575.1)". The record is from RNAcentral. Lineage: Eukaryota; Metazoa; Chordata; Mammalia; Primates; Cercopithecidae.
UGCAGAGGGAGGGAGAAUGUGAGCAGCUUCCAGAAGGUGUGGGGCUUUGAGGAAAGGGGACGGAGAGCAUCUGAAGGAAGCUUGGGUGUAAUCGGGCCACUGUCUCCAGAAGACUCAGGAAGGCUACUCAGAGAAGGGUCCCCCCAAGGGAUGUGGGACGGUUGGCCUAACCCUGUGGCAGACGGCUCUGCUUCUCUUCAUGGCCUAUGGAUUUGGAAAGCUCCUGAGUGCAAUGAGGAGUACCUCACCUAGCAGCCAAGACCUAUUCCCUGCCCCAGUGCCCCAGUACCCCAGAAACAGGCCAAGCCCCAGACUCUCCUGGCAUAAAUACCGGCUCCCGUCCAACCUCACGCCAUCAGGUAUGGGAGAUGCUGGGACCAGCAGCUAGCAGAGGGAAAAUGACAUAUCCUAGGAUUCAAUCCAAUCAGGAUUCCAUCCCA